CUUCAACCCAAUCUUCCCAGUCCUGAAGCCCAAGAAACUGGGAUUGGGGUAACCUUCAUUCCCACCAAUCUCCCGAGUGCCUUUCAACAACAGCAUUCUGGGUGGGAAAAGGGCUAGCUCCCGUGUGCGGUUAUUUCGGGACAGAGGACCGCAUCUAAUACAAACAUUUGAGAAAACGGGGAGGAAAAAAAAAGAAAAGAGGCAGUGAAAAUAGGAGGGCUUAAAAAAAAAAAAGAUGGAAAGAAACAGACGCCCACCCUUGUUUUCCCUCCAAUGUCAACAAGCAAAAUGAAAACUAUUUCCAGGGUGAUCGCUCGGGGGCUAACUCGCUUCCAAUUCGGAGCAGAAGCUGAGCAAACGCUGGCUGCGGCGAGGAGGCAAGGACUGCGCGCGUAAGCGACGGUCUGGAGCAGCAGCGCAGGGGAAGGAAGAGACGCACACGCGAGCAUGUGUUACCUGGUUUAUUUCGAGACUGUUUGGUAUUGUGUUCUCUCUGAGCACCCCUCACUUGGGGAGGCCGUCAGAGACGCCCGCCGCUGAGCCGCCCCCGCCCGCCGCGCAGCGCCUGGAGCCCCAGGCCCGGCAACCCAGCGGCUCCCGAGCUCCGAGCUCGCCGCCGCCGCCCGGGCCCCGGGAACCGACGCCGGAGCCUGCGGUCCAACUGCGCUGCUGUCGGAGCGCUCAGUGCCGCCGCCGCCACCCGCGCCCCGCUCGGCACCCAUCGGUCGCCACCGCCCGCCGCGCCGCUGCCCCGCUCCCGCGCAGUCGCCGCCGCCGCCGCCGCCGCCGCCGCCGCCGCCGUUUCCCCCCGACGACUGGGUGAUGCUGGACAUGGGAGAUAGGAAAGAGGUGAAAAUGAUCCCCAAGUCCUCGUUCAGCAUCAACAGCCUGGUGCCAGAGGCCGUCCAGAACGACAACCACCACGCGAGCCACGGCCACCACAACAGCCACCACCCCCAGCACCACCACCACCACCACCACCACCACCACCACCCGCCGCCGCCCGCCCCGCAACCGCCGCCGCCGCCGCAGCAGCAGCCGCCGCCGCCGCCGCCGCCGCCCCAGGCACCGCAGCCCCCCCAGGCGCGGGGCGCCCCGGCCGCCGCCGACGACGACAAGGGCCCCCAGCAGCUGCUGCUCCCGCCGCCGCCGCCGCCGCCGCCGCCCGCCGGCGCCCUGGACGGGGCCAAAGCGGACGGGCUGGGCGGCAAGGGCGAGCCGGGCGCGGGGCCCGGGGAGCUGGCGCCCGUCGGGCCGGACGAGAAGGAGAAGGGCGCCGGCGCCGGGGGGGAGGAGAAGAAGGGGGCGGGCGAGGGCGGCAAGGACGGGGAGGGGGGCAAGGAGGGCGAGAAGAAGAACGGCAAGUACGAGAAGCCGCCCUUCAGCUACAACGCGCUCAUCAUGAUGGCCAUCCGGCAGAGCCCCGAGAAGCGGCUGACGCUCAACGGCAUCUACGAGUUCAUCAUGAAGAACUUCCCCUACUACCGCGAGAACAAGCAGGGCUGGCAGAACUCCAUCCGCCACAACCUGUCGCUCAACAAGUGCUUCGUGAAGGUGCCGCGCCACUACGACGACCCGGGCAAGGGCAACUACUGGAUGCUCGACCCGUCGAGCGACGACGUGUUCAUCGGCGGCACCACGGGCAAGCUGCGGCGCCGCUCCACCACGUCGCGGGCCAAGCUGGCCUUCAAGCGCGGCGCGCGCCUCACCUCCACGGGCCUCACCUUCAUGGACCGCGCCGGCUCCCUCUACUGGCCCAUGUCGCCCUUCCUGUCCCUGCACCACCCCCGCGCCAGCAGCACUUUGAGUUACAACGGCACCACGUCGGCCUACCCCAGCCACCCCAUGCCCUACAGCUCCGUGUUGACUCAGAACUCGCUGGGCAACAACCACUCCUUCUCCACGGCCAACGGCCUGAGCGUGGACCGGCUGGUCAACGGGGAGAUCCCGUACGCCACGCACCACCUGACGGCCGCCGCGCUCGCCGCCUCGGUGCCCUGCGGCCUGUCGGUGCCCUGCUCCGGGACCUACUCCCUCAACCCCUGCUCGGUCAACCUGCUCGCGGGCCAGACCAGUUACUUUUUCCCCCACGUCCCGCACCCGUCAAUGACUUCGCAGAGCAGCACGUCCAUGAGCGCCCGGGCCGCGUCGUCGUCCACGUCUCCGCAGGCGCCCUCCACCCUGCCCUACUGCCCGAGGUUAUCGGAAGGAUGUCAAGGAAGAGGAAGCAAGGACUCCAAGAGAGCUCACUCUCCAGGAUUGCGUCAGCGCUUAAGAGGUGGAGCCUAGUUGUUCCAUGACUAUAGGCAGAGGUGGGCCAGCGCUGGGACCUUAAGCUUUGCAGAUGAUAGAAAGGAGGAGCUGAAGGAUGAAGACGGAUCCAUGUCAUUGUGAAUUUGUGUUUCACAGCUGCUGUCGGGCAUUCCUCCAUUUGAUUCAGUGGUUACAUGGAUGACCCAUUCCAGCCCAACUCAAGUGUCCUAGUAGAGACUUCUUUGGUCUAAUAUGGUAGGUCCUUUUAAUGACACUGAGUACUGUGUACCUACUCUUCUCCAUUGCGACAGAGAUCUCCUCCGACACCAUUGCCAAAUAAAUCAACUAAGAAAGGAGACUGGGAGCAAAGGCAGCCAAAUAAAGACUUGAGUAGAAAGAGUAGUGCCCUCUUGCUGGAGUUCUGCUGGAAAAUUUGGGCAAAUGUCAUAUUUGGGAAGCAUGUUUACAGAGCUGAGUCUGAGAAGAACAAAUAAACAGAUUGUCAUGAGACUGAAGGGGAUGGGAUUGAGGUUGGUCCUGAGGAAAAUAUAGGAUAGGCGACGACUUAAAAAUUAGAAAUGAGCACCCUCCCUCCACAGCCCAUCCACUUUUCUGAUUCCUCUAGGUAUGGAGGACUGGAAAGGGGACCAUAAAAUGAAGGGAUUGGAAAUAGAGGGAGGAGAUCAAGUGUGAAACAUUAAUAGUAACGGAUGGUGAUCUAACUGGGAAAGUUAGCUCCUUUUCCUAGUAGGAGGCAAAGGUGAUUUUCACAAUUGUAUACCUGGCAGGUAUAUUGUGUAGGUGUGAGAGCUGCCACCAGUUCCUGACACUAGGCUGGAAAAAUUUGCCAGAAUGAGUCUGUACCUGAAGAAAUGGAACUCUCCUCUCAACUCUAAGAUUCUCCCCAUCUUCAGAGUCCUCUAACCCUUCCCCAAAAGAAAGGAACUGAAAGAAAAUAAAAAGGGGGUGAAGUGGGAAUGGAAUAAGACUCAGUAUUUGACUCAGGCAAAUGUCAGGCAGGUAUUUUGCUAAUUGCCUUCACUUGUGGAGGAGAAAGAAGGCUGCUUAGGAGAGAAAAAGAGUGAGUAUGCAGGAAGAGAACAGAGAGGUGAUAAAAAUUCCUUGGCAACCCAGUGACUGGGGCCAGUAGGAAAAAAAAAACUUUAAUUGUAGGUCUGUGUGGGAACACGGAAGGCUAACUGUUAAAUGUUAGCUAACUGCUAAAUGUUUUUGCUUUGUUCUGUUUUCCUGUGUGUUGAUGUAGCUCUGAAAAUUAUGAGAAAACAUGAUCUGCACGCCUUGUCCGGAAAAAAAAUUACAACGGGAAAGGCAUUCAUGUCAGAAAUAGCCAGUCUUGUCCUCUAGAAAACCCCUUUUCUUUAGAUAUUGUCUUCGAAUUCACACAUAUACUAACCAGACACUAGUUCAAGAAAGAAAGGGAGGGGGUCGGUGGAAGAAGGAUCAGUUUCCCCUUGGUAUUAGCAGCAUGCUUCUCUAGCUUUGCCUUUUACACUAGUUAGGCAAAGCAAUCUUUUUGUGACUUCUAUAUAAAUAUUUUCAUUUUUAAAAGUUUUAAAAUAUUCCUUUUGUGAGACUAUUAUUUUACAAAAUAUCAGCAAAAAGAAAAAAAAGUGAAGCGUUUGUUUGAAGGGAUAAUUUCUUUGAAAGUCGACUCAAUCUGCAGGAGAGAGCCUGCUUUGCUGCGACUGAAGGUUGCUCUGCUCCUUCCUGGUAUCCCAGGCUGUGUCCGUGCAUUGAGAAUGAACUGAGAAGGAGGAGUUCUCUAGAACUCUUCACGAAGUACUGGUCUACCACCUGAAAUAAAAAACCCAAUCCUAAUUAAAAUUAUAUUUUAAAGAAAACAUUCUCAGUUGUGAUUAUUUGUUUGAAUUGUUUCUUUGGUUAAGAAGGAUCUAUUAUUUGUUCCAAUAAGAAAAUGAAAAGAAAUUAACAUUACCAGCCAAAGUUCUCUGGAUCCUACUAUGGAUCAUUAAGUGUGGUUUUAA
This is an RNA transcript of Sorex araneus (European shrew), 4259 nucleotides long. It is a transcript of the gene named forkhead box G1, with no coding region annotated. The record is from RefSeq and is a predicted model, not a curated record. The transcript is spliced from 5 exons. NCBI's taxonomy places the organism in Eukaryota, Metazoa, Chordata, Mammalia, Eulipotyphla, Soricidae.